This 1451-nucleotide ribosomal RNA is filed under the name Burkholderia sp. RNAcentral describes it as "bacterial SSU rRNA". It matches the Rfam family "Bacterial small subunit ribosomal RNA". The record is from RNAcentral. Lineage: Bacteria; Pseudomonadati; Pseudomonadota; Betaproteobacteria; Burkholderiales; Burkholderiaceae.
UGGCGGCAUGCCUUACACAUCAAGUCGAACGGCAGCACGGGUGCUUGCACCUGGUGGCGAGUGGCGAACGGGUGAGUAAUACAUCGGAACAUGUCCUGUAGUGGGGGAUAGCCCGGCGAAAGCCGGAUUAAUACCGCAUACGAUCUACGGAUGAAAGCGGGGGACCUUCGGGCCUCGCGCUAUAGGGUUGGCCGAUGGCUGAUUAGCUAGUUGGUGGGGUAAAGGCCUACCAAGGCGACGAUCAGUAGCUGGUCUGAGAGGACGACCAGCCACACUGGGACUGAGACACGGCCCAGACUCCUACGGGAGGCAUGGAAUUUUGGACAAUGGGCGAAAGCCUGAUCCAGCAAUGCCGCGUGUGUGAAGAAGGCCUUCGGGUUGUAAAGCACUUUUGUCCGGAAAGAAAUCCUUGGCUCUAAUACAGUCGGGGGAUGACGGUACCGGAAGAAUAAGCACCGGCUAACUACGUGCCAGCAGCCGCGGUAAUACGUAGGGUGCGAGCGUUAAUCGGAAUUACUGGGCGUAAAGCGUGCGCAGGCGGUUUGCUAAGACCGAUGUGAAAUCCCCGGGCUCAACCUGGGAACUGCAUUGGUGACUGGCAGGCUAGAGUAUGGCAGAGGGGGGUAGAAUUCCACGUGUAGCAGUGAAAUGCGUAGAGAUGUGGAGGAAUACCGAUGGCGAAGGCAGCCCCCUGGGCCAAUACUGACGCUCAUGCACGAAAGCGUGGGGAGCAAACAGGAUUAGAUACCCUGGUAGUCCACGCCCUAAACGAUGUCAACUAGUUGUUGGGGAUUCAUUUCCUUAGUAACGUAGCUAACGCGUGAAGUUGACCGCCUGGGGAGUACGGUCGCAAGAUUAAAACUCAAAGGAAUUGACGGGGACCCGCACAAGCGGUGGAUGAUGUGGAUUAAUUCGAUGCAACGCGAAAAACCUUACCUACCCUUGACAUGGUCGGAAUCCCGCUGAGAGGUGGGAGUGCUCGAAAGAGAACCCGCACAGGUGCUGCAUGGCUGUCGUCAGCUCGUCGUGAGAUGUUGUUAAGUCCCGCAACGAGCGCAACCCUUGUCCUUAGUUGCUACGCAAGAGCACUCUAAGGAGACUGCCGGUGACAAACCGGAGGAAGGUGGGGAUGACGUCAAGUCCUCAUGGCCCUUAUGGGUAGGGUUCACACGUCAUACAAUGGUCGGAACAGAGGGUUGCCAACCCGCGAGGGGGAGUAAUCCCAGAAAACCGAUCGUAGUCCGGAUUGCACUCUGCAACUCGAGUGCAUGAAGCUGGAAUCGCUAGUAAUCGCGGAUCAGCAUGCCGCGGUGAAUACGUUCCCGGGUCUUGUACACACCGCCCGUCACACCAUGGGAGUGGGUUUUACCAGAAGUGGCUAGUCUAACCGCAAGGAGGACGGUCACCACGGUAGGAUUCAUGACUGGGGUGAAGUCGUAACAAGUACCGUA